RNAcentral lists this ribosomal RNA (2821 nucleotides) under Musa schizocarpa. RNAcentral describes it as "bacterial LSU rRNA". The stretch from base 130 to 2667 matches the Rfam family "Bacterial large subunit ribosomal RNA". Lineage: Eukaryota; Viridiplantae; Streptophyta; Magnoliopsida; Zingiberales; Musaceae. The record is from RNAcentral.
AAUGAUAGCAUCAAACGGGAAAGGAAAAACUUGGUGGAAACACAAAGACCAGGAAAAAGGUAGCAACGACAAGACAAUUUCAGGGAGUUGGCAUAAGAUCAGGAAUUCCCAGAUACCUACUGCUGGAUCCGCUGGGCAACAAAAGGGCCUAAUGGCAAGCGACGUAGAGGAGAAAAGACAAAGCGAUUCCCAAAUGGCAAAAUGCGGAGCAGCUAAACCGUGAAAACAGGGUUGUGGGAGAGCAUCAUGCGUCGUGCUGCUAGGCAAAGUGGGAAUGAAUACCACCCUAGAUGGCAGAAGUCCGAAAGCAUCCCCUUUUUUUUUGGCUUACCCUCUGACCCGAAGUAGCACCGGGCGUGGAAUCCGUGUGAAUCAUCAAGGACCCUGCCACAAACUUCAUCUCUAGGCCCAACCAUGCCAAAAAAUACCGUGAAGAAAAAUGAAAAAGAACAUCAAGUAAAAUAGAACAUAAACCGUGAGCUUUCCCAAGCAGUGGAGAGGAGAAUGUGUUUCUGGCCGCAUGCCUGUUGAAGAAAAUGAGCCGGCGACUCAUGGGCUGGUUGAGGGGAACCCACCCGGGUUCAAAAGCAGAUGUCAUGAGGAGCGGUGUCUAGACUGGGUUUGAACCUGGUGAUCUAUCCAUGAUGAGGAUGAAGCUUGGGUAAGAAACUAAGUGGAGUCGAACCGACUGAUGUUGAAAAGAAUCAGCGGAUGAGUUGGCUGGUUCUCCCCGAAAUGCGUUGAGGCGCAGCAGUUGACUGGACAUCUGGGGUAAAAAGCACUGUUUCGGUGCGGGCCGCGAGGCAGUACCAAAUCGAGGCAAAACUCUGAAUACUGAUAUGACCCCCAAAUAAGAGGAUCAAGGUCGGCCAGUGAAGACGAUGGGGAUAAGCUUCAUCGUCGAGAGGAAACAGCCGGAUCACCAGCUAAAACCCCUAAAUGACCGCUCAGUGAUAAAAGGAGGUAGGGGUGCAGAGACAGCCAGGAGGUUUGCCUAAAGCAGCCACCCUUGAAAAAGUGCGUAAUAGCUCCACUGAUCAAACGCUCUUGCCGAAAGAUGAACAGGGCUAAACGAUCUGCCAGAAAGCUGUGGGAUGUAAAAUGCAUCGGUGGGGGCGUUCCACCAUAGCCGAAACACCCGCGCAAGCAAAUUAAUGGACAAGCGGAAAGGAGAUGUCAAACUUAGUAACGCAAACAUUGGUGAAAUCAAUGCCCCGAAAAAAGGUUCCUCCGCAGGUUCGUCCACAGAGAGGUGAGUCAGGGCCUAAGAUCAGGCCGAAAGGCGUAUCGAUGGACAACAGGUGAAUAUUCCUGUACUACCUUGUUGGUCCCGAGGGACGGAGGAGGCUAGGUUAGCCGAAGGAUGGUUAUCAGUUCAAGGACGCAAAGGUGACCUUUUUUCAGGGGUAAGAAAGGUAGAAAAUGCCUCAGGCAAUGUCAAAGUACCAGGCGCUACGGCACAGUAACCCGUACCAUACUCCCAGGAAAGAAAGCUCAGACGACGACCUUCAAAAGGGUACCUGUGUGCGGGCACGGGUGGGUGGGUGGGGGAAUACCUGGGGCGCGGGACAGCUCUCUCUAAGGAACUCAGCAAAAAUAGCCCCCACAUGGGAGAAGAGGUGCCUCCUCCUACCAAAGGGGUCCAGUGAGCCAGACCCGGGCGUUUAUUCAAAACACAGGUCUCCACCAAGUCAAUAAGACUGCAUGGCAGGGCUGACAUGCCCAGUGCCGGAAGGUCAAGGAGGUUGGUGAGCCUGUUGACAGGGAGGGGGGGCAGACCAGAAGCCCCGUGAACGGCGGCCGUAACUAUAAUCCUAAAAGGUGGGAAACCCUGUCGGGUGGUUCAACCCACACAGCAUGGCACAAUCCCAACACUGCUCUCAGGAAACUCAGUGAAAUAGACAUAUCUCUAAAGAUACCGGACUACACCUGGACAAAACCCUAUAAACUUUUAUUCCCUAGGAUUGGCUUUGGGCCUUUCCUGCGCACCUUUCAGGUAAACAAAAAAGGCCUCCUUCCUGGGGGCCCAGCCAUCAGUGAAUACCGCUCUGGAAGAGCUAGAAUUCUAACCUUGUGUCCGGACCUGGGGAGCCAGGGGACAGUAGGAGGGUUUCUACGGUUCAUGGGCAUGAAACCCCAAAAUAACAGGAAGCAUGCAAAAGGUUUCCUCCUCGGAGGGACGGGGGGCCCUCGGGGGGGGUUAAAAGAAAAACUUGACCUGAUCCACCGUCGGGCUUGGACGAAAGUCGGCCUUAGUGAUCAGCGGUGGAUGGAGGAUUAAGAUCUAAAGGUUACUCUGGGAUGGCUGGACAGUCUUUUUGGGUUCCCAUCGGCGGGUUUGGCACCCCUCGAUAUCAGCUCUUCGCCACCUGGGGCUGUAUGUUUCCAAAGGGUUGGGCUGUUCUUACAUUAAAGCUUGCGUGAAACUGGGUUUCAAAACGUCAUGAGACAGUUCAUUCCCUGUCAGUGCAGGCGUUAAAACAUUAAAGAAAGACCUUCCCCUGUUUGAGAGGGACUGGGAAGGACGCACCCCUCUGGUGUACCAGUUAUCGUGCCCACAAUAAACUUGCUUUGGGUAAAUGCAGAGCAGAUGCUGCUGAAAGCAUCUAAGUAAGCCCCACCCCAGAUGAGUGCUCUUAUGUCGAGCUUCCCAGAGCCCCCAGUGCAAAACCAGAUGGCAACAAAAUUCUCUGUCCCUGAGAUGGGCAGGCAGAGUAUUGAAAUCCAGAUAAGGUCCGGCGAGACAAGCCGUUUUCCUGUCAACAGGUGUCGGAGAUUGAUGUAUGCAGCUGAGGCAUCCUAACGGCCGAGAGAUUUGGUU